UUAAGUGACGAUAGCCUAGGAGAUACACCUGUUCCCAUGCCGAACACAGAAGUUAAGCCCUAGUACGCCUGAUGUAGUUGGGGG
Molecule: ribosomal RNA, 84 nt
Filed under: Streptococcus thermophilus
Lineage: Bacteria; Bacillati; Bacillota; Bacilli; Lactobacillales; Streptococcaceae
Source: RNAcentral